Molecule: ribosomal RNA, 253 nt
Filed under: uncultured bacterium
Lineage: Bacteria
Description: partial 16S ribosomal RNA
Rfam family: Bacterial small subunit ribosomal RNA
Source: RNAcentral
UACGUAGGAUGCGAGCGUUGUCCGGAAUUAUUGGGCGUAAAGAGAACGUAGGCGGUUUCUUAAGUUUGGUCUUAAAGACCGGGGCUCAACCCCGGGAGUGGAUCGAAAACUGGGAGACUGGAGGACGUCAGAGGAAAGUGGAAUUCCGAGUGUAGCGGUGAAAUGCGUAGAUAUUCGGAGGAACACCAGUGGCGAAAGCGACUUUCUGGGACGUUCCUGACGCUGAGGUUCGAAAGCUCGGGGAGCAAACAGG